Molecule: ribosomal RNA, 497 nt
Filed under: uncultured bacterium
Lineage: Bacteria
Description: partial 16S ribosomal RNA
Rfam family: Bacterial small subunit ribosomal RNA
Source: RNAcentral
GAUGAACGCUGGCGGCGUGCCUAAUACAUGCAAGUCGAGCGAACAGACGAGGAGCUUGCUCCUCUGAUGUUAGCGGCGGACGGGUGAGUAACACGUGGAUAACCUACCUAUAAGACUGGGAUAACUUCGGGAAACCGGAGCUAAUACCGGAUAACAUGUUGAACCGCAUGGUUCAACAGUGAAAGACGGUCUUGCUGUCACUUAUAGAUGGAUCCGCGCCGCAUUAGCUAGUUGGUAAGGUAACGGCUUACCAAGGCAACGAUGCGUAGCCGACCUGAGAGGGUGAUCGGCCACACUGGAACUGAGACACGGUCCAGACUCCUACGGGAGGCAGCAGUAGGGAAUCUUCCGCAAUGGGCGAAAGCCUGACGGAGCAACGCCGCGUGAGUGAAGAAGGUCUUCGGAUCGUGAAACUCUGUUAUUAGGGAAGAACAAAUGUGUAAGUAACUAUGCACGUCUUGACGGUACCUAAUCAGAAAGCCACGGCUAACUACGUG